CCUUUGGCCUGGAAUAACACGAGGAAACUUGUGCUAAUACCGGAUAAGUCUUUACGGAGAAAGCUUUAUGCACCAUUGGAUGAGCCUGCACUUGAUUAGUUUGUUGGUAGGGUAAUGGCCUACCAAGACUGUGAUCAAUAGCUGAUUUGAGAGGAUGAUCAGCCACAUUGGGACUGAGACACGGCCCAAACUCCUACGGGAGGCAGCAGUGGGGAAUCUUGCACAAUGGAGGAAACUCUGAUGCAGCGAUGCCGCGUGAGUGAAGAAGGCCCUUGGGUUGUAAAGCUCUUUCGUCGGGGAAGAAAAUGACUGUACCCGAAUAAGAAGGUCCGGCUAACUUCGUGCCAGCAGCCGCGGUAAUACGAAGGGACCUAGCGUAGUUCGGAAUUACUGGGCUUAAAGAGUUCGUAGGUGGUUGAAAAAGUUGGUGGUGAAAUCCCAGAGCUUAACUCUGGAACUGCCAUCAAAACUUUUCAGCUAGAGUAUGAUAGAGGAAAGCAGAAUUUCUAGUGUAGAGGUGAAAUUCGUAGAUAUUAGAAAGAAUACCAAUUGCGAAGGCAGCUUUCUGGAUCAUUACUGACACUGAGGAACGAAAGCAUGGGCAGCGAAGAGGAUUAGAUACCCUCGUAGUCCAUGCCGUAAACGAUGUGUGUUAGACGUUGGAAAUUUAUUUUCAGUGUCGCAGUGAAAACGAUAAACACACCGCCUGGGGAGUACGACCGCAAGGUUAAAACUCAAAUGAAUUGACGGGGACCCGCACAAGUAG
RNAcentral lists this ribosomal RNA (766 nucleotides) under uncultured Pelagibacterium sp. RNAcentral describes it as "bacterial SSU rRNA". It matches the Rfam family "Bacterial small subunit ribosomal RNA", at positions 130 to 932 of the family's 1533-position model. Lineage: Bacteria; Pseudomonadati; Pseudomonadota; Alphaproteobacteria; Hyphomicrobiales; Devosiaceae. The record is from RNAcentral.